CCUACGGGAGGCAGCAGUGAGGAAUAUUGGUCAAUGGACGAGAGUCUGAACCAGCCAAGUAGCGUGAAGGAUGACUGCCCUAUGGGUUGUAAACUUCUUUUAUAAAGGAAUAAAACGAGGCACGUGUGCCUUUUUGCAUGUACUUUAUGAAUAAGGAUCGGCUAACUCCGUGCCAGCAGCCGCGGUAAUACGGAGGAUCCGAGCGUUAUCCGGAUUUAUUGGGUUUAAAGGGAGCGUAGAUGGGUUGUUAAGUCAGUUGUGAAAGUUUGCGGCUCAACCGUAAAAUUGCAAUUGAUACUGGCAGUCUUGAGUACAGUUGAGGUAAGCGGAAUUCGUGGUGUAGCGGUGAAAUGCUUAGAUAUAACGAAGAACCCCGAUUGCGAAGGCAGCUUACUAAACUGUGACUGACACUGAUGCUCGAAAGUGUGGGGAUCAAACAGGAUUAGAUACCCGGGUAGUC
RNAcentral lists this ribosomal RNA (460 nucleotides) under uncultured bacterium. RNAcentral's name for it is "partial 16S ribosomal RNA". It matches the Rfam family "Bacterial small subunit ribosomal RNA", at positions 338 to 795 of the family's 1533-position model. The record is from RNAcentral.